CUCAUUUUUUAAAUUUAAUUGGCUUAACGACUAAUAUACUCCCAGAAAGUUUUCCAUAUUUCUAGUUGGUUCCCAGAUAGAUCAAAAUACGUUCGCCUUAUGGGGUUUGACUAAGUUUCUUUUGAUAAAUGUGCAAUAACGUUGCAAUAUCGACUGCAAUGAUUUCAAGAGUUAUGUCCAAGAUUGUGCAGUAGCACGUUUGUCUAGAGGAGCUACGCGUCAGAUUAUUCGUUUUAAUUCGUGAACGAAUUUUGUUUUGCCCCGUUAAUAUACACAGUAUCAAUGCAAGCAGGUAUUUCUGUUUGCGCAGGUUUGUACAGGCGGAUCAUUCGUCAAAAAUAUAUAAUUUUGUCAACGAUUUCUUCUAUAAUUAAACUUAGUAUUGUAAGUAAUAUAUGAACAAUGAGAGCGCGUGUUUCGCCGGGAUAUCCAAACACGAGAAAACAACGUAUGAAAAUACGAGCGCGAAGCCCGAGUGUUUUCAUACCUUGUUUUCGAGUGUUUGGAUAUCCCGGUGAGACACGAGCUCGAGUUGUU
Paramuricea clavata is the source of this 537-nucleotide non-coding RNA. The record is from the annotation of a GenBank genome assembly. Lineage: Eukaryota; Metazoa; Cnidaria; Anthozoa; Malacalcyonacea; Plexauridae.